Trichomalopsis sarcophagae is the source of this 46-nucleotide non-coding RNA. Lineage: Eukaryota; Metazoa; Arthropoda; Insecta; Hymenoptera; Pteromalidae. The record is from Rfam.
AAACCAGCCCUUUUUAGGGCUACAAAUACUUCAUAUAUACAAUCAG